Nematostella vectensis (starlet sea anemone) is the source of this 527-nucleotide long non-coding RNA. RefSeq lists it as uncharacterized. The transcript is spliced from 2 exons. The record is from RefSeq and is a predicted model, not a curated record. Lineage: Eukaryota; Metazoa; Cnidaria; Anthozoa; Actiniaria; Edwardsiidae.
GCGCAAGAUGUAUAAGUGCGUGGAUUUUUUACGAAUUCAACGUCAUUUUGGAAGGGCGCUAAAGUCUAGCUCCAUGUACCGAUCGUUAUAAAACUCAAACGCCUACCUGAAGGGUCUGGGCAUGCAAUUACAACUUCUUUUUAUAUCCAAAAGCUCUUUGAAUAUGAAAUCGGCACAGUUAUUAUUUGGUACCGAUUUAUUAUUGGCAAGAUUUAAUCACGUGUAGAAUGUCAACCGAAGUUUUCCCAAGAACCUCGUGCGAAGUGUUGGAAUUUUCACGUAUUCCCAGGAGAUCUUAGAAUAAAUUUACAGCUGGCCAAUGGUUGAAUUUAGAUAUAGGUCGAGGUCAGCCUUCAACGCCAAGCCCUAAUCGGCGGUAAGCUUGCGUUUCAGCCCAGCCUCGGAUAUGAGGGCGCUUCUCUGUUCCGAUGUCAGCCUCCGUACCUCGUUCGCUCGCUGGUGGAUCUUCGCCGCAGAGUCUCGUUCGAAACUUUCUCGGAGUUGGUACUACUAUAAGCGUUAACGGC